GACGAACGCUGGCGGCGUGCUUAACACAUGCAAGUCGAACGGAAAGGCCUGCUUUCCCUUGUGGAUUGCGGGUACUCGAGUGGCGAACGGGUGAGUAACACGUGAGUGAUCUGCCCCCAACUUGGGUAUAAGCCUGGGAAACUGGGUCUAAUUCCCGAUAGGACUGCAGGGUGGUGCCUGUGGUGGAAAACGAUUUUCUAGUGGUUGGGGAUGAGCUCGCGGCCUAUCAGCUUGUUGGUGGGGUAAUGGCCUACCAAGGCGGCGACGGGUAGCCGGCCUGAGAGGGUGGACGGCCACAUUGGGACUGAGAUACGGCCCAGACUCCUACGGGAGGCAGCAGUGGGGAAUAUUGCACAAUGGGCGGAAGCCUGAUGCAGCGACGCCGCGUGGGGGAUGACGGCCUUCGGGUCGUAAACUCCUUUCGACCGCGAGGAAGCCACCUGGUUGGAAGGGUGGUGACGGUAGUGGUAGAAGAAGCACCGGCUAACUACGUG
RNAcentral lists this ribosomal RNA (494 nucleotides) under uncultured bacterium. Its description in RNAcentral is "partial 16S ribosomal RNA". It matches the Rfam family "Bacterial small subunit ribosomal RNA", at positions 28 to 507 of the family's 1533-position model. The record is from RNAcentral.